CGUCAUCAUUGCCUAGUGACACUCCUAGCAACAGGAAACAUCUGUUUCAGCGUCGACCAAUCAGGAGCCGGUGCAGUCUGUUAUUGCUCGCUGCACAGAAAGGGGAUAUUUUAAGAGCCGAGAGUGAGCCGAAUACUACAGGGAUUAUAUCAGAAGCAAGACUUCGACAUCUGGGGCGAAACGUCAAGCUCACGCGGAGCUGAAAGCGGCUACAUUCGGCACAUUAUGAGCUGUUUUGAGCCUCUGGUUUGAUGAAGAACGCGCGUGCGGGGACUGUUAAUGUGGCUUUAGAAAUAAGGAACCAUUAGGCAAUGUGUGUGAGCCAGAGGAAAGAGUCUCAGGUCAAUAGAGGAUUUGUCAGAGAGGUGUGUGAUUGUGUCUGGGUGAAGCAGUUCUCAGGGUCUUUCCUCUAAGAGUGCCCUAAACGGUCAACAACGUCGAAAGUCGCCUACUUUAAGCGAAAAUAUGCGGAAGAGGAGGAUGUUCAGGGAAGCCUACAUGGAUAUUUACAAAAACACCUGAUCCUGCGUGAGGAGCGCAGCUGCAUCCUGCGCCUGUCUCUGCAGAAGCUGCGUUUCCUAGAUGACCCCGAGGCUUACCUUCGCCGCUCUGUGCUCAUCAACAACCUGCUACGCAAGAUCCACCUGGACGAAGCCCAGAGGGAGAGAGAGAAACAGAGGGAUGACAAGGAAGGGGAGGAGGAGACGGAGAGGAGGCGGAAGAGACUGAAGGUGGUGCUCCAAGAGUUCCAGCAGUACAAGCUGCUGCCGUUCUCAUCCUCUCCAGCCGCGUGCAUCUGCGGCCUGGGCAGCUGCCACAC
Molecule: long non-coding RNA, 820 nt
Organism: Carassius carassius (crucian carp)
Lineage: Eukaryota; Metazoa; Chordata; Actinopteri; Cypriniformes; Cyprinidae
Exons: 4
Source: RefSeq, a predicted model, not a curated record